ACGUUGUGGCGGAGGCAGCGACCGACCAACCAAGCGACCAGGCUGUUCCAGGUCCAUCGGGAUACUCGACGAAGUGUCUUCUUUCCUGUACUAAAUUAUUUUCAUCGCUGGGGUGUUGGCUCAUUGUUUUUACAGGUUGAAGCUGAGGGCAUCAGAUGUCGCGUCUGUGAAGAGCAAUGGAGGAGUAGUGAUUAUAAACUGUAAUUUUGAACUGUGCAUUUGGUGAUUAUAGUUUCAGUGUAAUUGUGACUUGUCUUUGUGUUUGUAGUUAAAUUGUAAUUGUGAACUGUGCAUUUGAGUAUAUUAUAAAUUUUAAUUGUAUAUUGUAACAUCCCACCCUCCUCUGCCAUCCUGAUCUGGGUCUUCCAUGGUUUCCCCAGAUAGUGUCAGGCGAAUGCCAGGAUGGGUCCCUAAGUCCAUGGCAGUUGUUCCAAUACCCUUUGUAUGCUUAUUUAUAAUAUUGGAACAAUUAAAGUGUUAAAAAAAUGAAA
Molecule: long non-coding RNA, 491 nt
Organism: Schistocerca nitens (vagrant locust)
Lineage: Eukaryota; Metazoa; Arthropoda; Insecta; Orthoptera; Acrididae
Exons: 3
Source: RefSeq, a predicted model, not a curated record